Molecule: long non-coding RNA, 266 nt
Organism: Anneissia japonica
Lineage: Eukaryota; Metazoa; Echinodermata; Crinoidea; Comatulida; Comatulidae
Exons: 2
Source: RefSeq, a predicted model, not a curated record
UUUAUGGAGACAACUUUGGGUCUUUGCGCCAUGAAAUGUUUUGUAAAAAAAACAUGCAAGUCUAUCAACUUCGACUCAAUGACUGGCAUAUGCGAAUUAAAUUCUGCUACGUUUGAAAAAAAAAGUCCAUGGUUCUUGAUGCCGAGUGAAAACUUUACUUACUACCCGAGACACAGCGAGAGUAAAGUGGACGAUUGUGGAGACUAUCAUAAAGAACAUAUUACGACAUUGAGUCACAGAGUCAACCAGAUAAUGCCACUACAAAA